Pelobates cultripes (western spadefoot toad) is the source of this 358-nucleotide non-coding RNA. NCBI's taxonomy places the organism in Eukaryota, Metazoa, Chordata, Amphibia, Anura, Pelobatidae. The record is from the annotation of a GenBank genome assembly.
GCGGUGGACGUGGAAGCAGCAGUGGAGGAGGAGGAUGAGGUAGCCAACACUGUUUUUUAUUUAUAUAUAAAUUUUAAUUGGGGUAGCCCCCAAAAUAUUGGGACAUAUAAAAAAAAGACAACUGUUCCGCGAGUAGCUGUUGAGAUUAUAGUUGCGCAGACACUUUGUUGACUCUAGAGAACCUCGGGCCAAUCGCACAUCCCCGUGGCGGCGACUUUGCAUGCGGAUGUCAUCCAUAUCAACUUUCGAUGCCAGUUUCUACGCCUACCAUGGUAACCAGGGGUAACAGGAAAUCAGGGUUCAAUUCCGUACAGGGACCCUGAGAAACGGCCACCACAUGCAAGGAAGGCAGCAGGCG